AACGCGAAGAACCUUACCCAGGCUCGAAAUGCAGGAGACGUUACUAGAAAUAGUAAUUUCCGUAAGGACUGCUGUAUAGGUGCUGCAUGGCUGUCGUCAGCUCGUGCCGUGAGGUGUUGGGUUAAGUCCCGCAACGAGCGCAACCCUUAUCAUUAGUUGCCAACACGAAAGGUGGGGACUCUAAUGAGACUGCCUAGGUUAACUAGGAGGAAGGUGAGGAUGACGUCAAGUCCGCAUGGCCUUUAUGUCUGGGGCUACACACGUGCUACAAUGGCCGGUACAGAAGGCAGCGAAACCGCAAGGUGAAGCAAAUCCCCAAAGCCGGCCUCAGUUCAGAUUGUAGUCUGCAACUCGACUACAUGAAGUUGGAAUUGCUAGUAAUGGCGUGUCAGCAACAACGCCGUGAAUACGUUCCCGGGCCUUGUACACACCGGUACUA
Molecule: ribosomal RNA, 439 nt
Filed under: uncultured bacterium
Lineage: Bacteria
Description: bacterial SSU rRNA
Rfam family: Bacterial small subunit ribosomal RNA
Source: RNAcentral